This 69-nucleotide transfer RNA is filed under the name Rattus norvegicus (Norway rat). It matches the Rfam family "tRNA". From Rfam's summary of the family: Transfer RNA (tRNA) molecules are approximately 80 nucleotides in length. Their secondary structure includes four short double-helical elements and three loops (D, anti-codon, and T loops). Further hydrogen bonds mediate the characteristic L-shaped molecular structure. tRNAs have two regions of fundamental functional importance: the anti-codon, which is responsible for specific mRNA codon recognition, and the 3' end, to which the tRNAs corresponding amino acid is attached (by aminoacyl-tRNA synthetases). tRNAs cope with the degeneracy of the genetic code in two manners: having more than one tRNA (with a specific anti-codon) for a particular amino acid; and 'wobble' base-pairing, i.e. permitting non-standard base-pairing at the 3rd anti-codon position. The record is from Rfam by way of RNAcentral. Lineage: Eukaryota; Metazoa; Chordata; Mammalia; Rodentia; Muridae.
GGGGAUUUGGCUCAGUGGUAGAGCACUUGCCUAGCAUGCACAAGGCCCUGGGUUCGGUCCCCAGCUCCG